GCAGCCGCGGUAAAACGUAGGAGGCGAGCGUUAUCCGGAUUUACUGGGUGUAAAGCGCGUGCAGGCGGUCAUGUAAGUGGUGCGUGAAAGCGCCCGGCUCAACCGGGCGAGGCCGUGCCAAACUGCGUGACUGGAGGCAGGUAGAGGCGCGUGGAAUUCCGGGUGUAGUGGUGAAAUGCGUAGAUAUCCGGAGGAACACCAGUGGCGAAGGCGGCGCGCUGGGCCUGACCUGACGCUAAGACGCGAAAGCAUGGGGAGCGAACGGGAUUAGAAACCCCGGUAGUCCAUGCUGUAAACGCUGCAGACUAGGUGUUGCGUGCGACGAGUAUGCAGUGCCGAAGCCAACGUGAUAAGUCUGCCACCUGGGGACUACGGCCGCAAGGUUAAAACUCAAAGGAAUUGACGGGGGCCCGCACAAGCAGCGGAGCGUGUGGUUUAAUUCGAGGCUACACGAAGAACCUUACCUGGGCUUGACAUGGCGGUGGUAGGGAACCGAAAGGGGACCGACCUUCGGGAGCCGUCACAGGUGCUGCAUGGCUGUCGUCAGCUCGUGUCGUGAGAUGUUCGGUUAAGUCCGGUAACGAGCGCAACCCUCGCCGCUAGUUACAAGUGUCUAGCGGGACUGCCCGUUGAACGCGGGAGGAAGGUGGGGAUGACGUCAAGUCAGCAUGGCCUUUAUGUCCAGGGCUACACACACGCUACAAUGGCCGGUACAAUGGGUCGCCAACCCGCGAGGGGGAGCCAAUCCAUCAAAGCCGGUCUCAGUUCGGAUUGCAGGCUGCAACCCGCCUGCAUGAAGUCGGAGUUGCUAGUAACCGCAGGUCAGCUAUACUGCGGUGAAUACGUUCCCGGGCCUU
Molecule: ribosomal RNA, 857 nt
Filed under: uncultured Chloroflexota bacterium
Lineage: Bacteria; Bacillati; Chloroflexota
Description: bacterial SSU rRNA
Rfam family: Bacterial small subunit ribosomal RNA
Source: RNAcentral